UCUGGCUCAGAUUGAACGCUGGCGGCAGGCCUAACACAUGCAAGUCGAGCGGUAGAGAGAAGCUUGCUUCUCUUGAGAGCGGCGGACGGGUGAGUAAUGCCUAGGAAUCUGCCUGGUAGUGGGGGAUAACGCUCGGAAACGGACGCUAAUACCGCAUACGUCCUACGGGAGAAAGCAGGGGACCUUCGGGCCUUGCGCUAUCAGAUGAGCCUAGGUCGGAUUAGCUAGUUGGUGGGGUAAUGGCUCACCAAGGCGACGAUCCGUAACUGGUCUGAGAGGAUGAUCAGUCACACUGGAACUGAGACACGGUCCAGACUCCUACGGGAGGCAGCAGUGGGGAAUAUUGGACAAUGGGCGAAAGCCUGAUCCAGCCAUGCCGCGUGUGUGAAGAAGGUCUUCGGAUUGUAAAGCACUUUAAGUUGGGAGGAAGGGCAGUAACCUAAUACGUUGCUGUCUUGACGUUACCGACAGAAUAAGCACCGGCUAACUCUGUGCCAGCAGCCGCGGUAAUACAGAGGGUGCAAGCGUUAAUCGGAAUUACUGGGCGUAAAGCGCGCGUAGGUGGUUUGUUAAGUUGGAUGUGAAAUCCCCGGGCUCAACCUGGGAACUGCAUUCAAAACUGACAAGCUAGAGUAUGGUAGAGGGUGGUGGAAUUUCCUGUGUAGCGGUGAAAUGCGUAGAUAUAGGAAGGAACACCAGUGGCGAAGGCGACCACCUGGACUGAUACUGACACUGAGGUGCGAA
This 744-nucleotide ribosomal RNA is filed under the name uncultured Pseudomonas sp. Its description in RNAcentral is "bacterial SSU rRNA". It matches the Rfam family "Bacterial small subunit ribosomal RNA", at positions 18 to 757 of the family's 1533-position model. Lineage: Bacteria; Pseudomonadati; Pseudomonadota; Gammaproteobacteria; Pseudomonadales; Pseudomonadaceae. The record is from RNAcentral.